GGCAACGACAGAGGCUUCGGUGGAUCUGGUUGUUCAGUUUGAAAGAGAAACACACCGACAUGGUUGUCGAUCCCGGUCCAGGAAAGCCCACAAAGCUCCAUCGUCAUUGGUUCUGGCUGCGUCCAGGAUGGAGGAUUCGGCGCUGUUAGUCACCCCGACGGCAUCUCAGAGGUGGAAGUUGGCGGCCUUUUAUUUAAAAAAUCUAGACGUGUACACGUGUAGCUGGAGACAAAGGUCGGGGAUUCUUUUAGACUCUUUCAGCACAACUGCUGGGGGGAGGAAUUCUGUGGAGGUUUUCUGAGUCUUCUGGUGUUUCUCCAGACUCCUGAUCAUCGUCUUCAGCGCCUUCCUCUCCAGCUCCAAGUCCUCCUGCUCCUUCUCUCGCAGCAGAACGUUGUUGAGGGACACCAGGUGGUGGAACUUCUCCUGCCACUUCCGUUCUUGCAUGUUGACUUGAGCGACCAGCCUGGCGUUCUCUUCCUCCAGUCUGAUCAAAAGCAACCGAUCCAAGCUCUGCUUGUGCAGCCGCCUGGCGAGAGCUUCCUCCGCGUCCCUGAGUCGACUGAGCACCUCUGCUCCUCUGGCCGCCACCUUCGAAAGCUGCUGCCGCAGAUCGUGGACCGUUUCGGCCCCCGGCUCCUGGGAUUCCACGUUCUGCCCGAGGGAAUCCUCGACUCUGCACUCGUGCUUGAUCGAAUGCUCCGGUUUCACGGGCGGGGGCAUCAAGUGUGGCUCUGACAACUGUUGAUGUUCACAGACGGACACGUGUUGGACAUUCAUGCACUCCGGGUCGCAGUGCUGCACCUCUUCUUUUGCGGGGGGUUUUGGCUCAUUCUUGGGCUUCCAGAACCUCGCCAGCUGCUUCCUGAUGAACUUUAGCACGGCGGCGACUUUCAUUCUCUUUGAACUUGCCUGCAUUGUUAUUUAAGAUUCACAACCUAUUGGUUAUUAUAAAUUUGCUCAUUCAGAUCAAUGCCUGGUUUGCUCUGAUCAAUUAACUUCAAAGACAUUGCUGGGUGUCUUUGAUCAAUACGCCUCGGCUGUGUGGCGGGUUUUUGUUAGACACAAGACGGAGGCCAAAUCCAACAAAGGUGUGUUUAAAGAAUUGGCUCUCGUGUCAACUUCCGUGUGUGACUCACAUACAUUGGAAAUGCUAUUUUCAGCCCGGUGACACAUCCAAGUGCACGGGGAUGCUGUGCACGUUAAUGUGGGGUUUUCUGUUUGUUUCGUUUUUAUCUUUUAUACAUCAAGGAAAAAUGAGAUGAGUAACCUCUGACUAAUUUAUUCCUCAGUUCCUCGGUUUAGUCCCCACUAAUGAGAGCAUCCUUUCCUAUUCAGAGGUAUUUAACCAGCAACAUGUACCUAAAAUGUUGGGAUGCGAUCCCAUGAUAGCAACAACCCAGGUUGGACACAAAUGCUGUGAUGCUGACAGUGAUUAUUUACCAAAAAGACAGAAAAAAAACCUACAAAAAGGCAUUCAAAGAGCAGCUUCCUUCACCAAGCAGCUCAUUUCCAAACACAACCAUAAGUUCCUUGGUCUAUUAACAUUAACAUUUACUCAUCCUAAUGGUACAUUUUUAAAUCCCAAUAUCAAAUUAAAUCAUCUGAAGGCAGCGAGGACCUAAACAGCUUUAAAAAAUGGACGCGUGUGGAGGAGCAUGUGUGUUUAUCACAUAUAAUGGACAUUGAUGAAAUACAAAAAACCCAAUGAGAAUCAAUUCCAAAAUAUUGUGCAAAGCAAAACUGACGCAUCAGUUUUCCACCUUCCCAUUUAAAACAAAAAGAACAACCAAUCAGUAGAUUUUCACACUGCAAUAAAACCCGCUGACAUGUGUCAUUUGGAAACAAAGGCGGUAAAAAGGUUUCAAGACUGAAAUUACUGGACGACCGAGGUGUCGCUCUCCAUGGGCGCUGCACGCCGAGGCUCUAAUUGGCUUUGUUCUCCAGCCAAAUAAUAACCAUGUAUGCUAAUGGUGUAAAUCCUGCCGAUGGCUCUCAGAGCUCGUUUCACAUGAACA
This 2018-nucleotide long non-coding RNA is filed under the name Takifugu rubripes (torafugu). Its description in RNAcentral is "lncRNA (ENSTRUG00000032428.1)". Lineage: Eukaryota; Metazoa; Chordata; Actinopteri; Tetraodontiformes; Tetraodontidae. The record is from RNAcentral.